GGCCGGGUGGUGGAAUGGUAUACACGAGGGACUUAAAAUCCCUUGCCUGCAAAGGCUUGAGGGUUCGAAUCCCUCCCCGGCUA
RNAcentral lists this transfer RNA (83 nucleotides) under Candidatus Omnitrophota bacterium. Its description in RNAcentral is "Candidatus Omnitrophica bacterium tRNA-Leu". It matches the Rfam family "tRNA". Rfam says of the family: Transfer RNA (tRNA) molecules are approximately 80 nucleotides in length. Their secondary structure includes four short double-helical elements and three loops (D, anti-codon, and T loops). Lineage: Bacteria; Pseudomonadati; Candidatus Omnitrophota. The record is from RNAcentral.